Non-coding RNA from Triticum aestivum (bread wheat), 135 nucleotides. The record is from Rfam. NCBI's taxonomy places the organism in Eukaryota, Viridiplantae, Streptophyta, Magnoliopsida, Poales, Poaceae.
CAAAUACUCCCUCCGUCCGGAAAUACUUGUCAUCAAAAUGGAUAAAAGGAAAUGUAUCUAGACGUAUUUUAGUUUUAGAUACAUCUCUUUUUAUCCAUUUUGAUGAAAAGUAUUUUCGGACGGAGGGAGUAGAAA